RNAcentral lists this ribosomal RNA (253 nucleotides) under uncultured bacterium. RNAcentral's name for it is "partial 16S ribosomal RNA". It matches the Rfam family "Bacterial small subunit ribosomal RNA", at positions 524 to 776 of the family's 1533-position model. The record is from RNAcentral.
UACAGAGGUCCCGAGCGUUGUUCGGAUUCAUUGGGCGUAAAGGGUGCGUAGGCGGCGGGGCAAGUCUGAUGUGAAAUCCCGGGGCUCAACCCCGGAACUGCAUUGGAUACUGCCUUGCUUGAGCACUGGAGAGGGAACUGGAAUUUACGGUGUAGCAGUGAAAUGCGUAGAGAUCGUAAGGAAGGCCAGUGGCGAAGGCGAGUUCCUGGACAGUUACUGACGCUGAGGCACGAAGGCCAGGGGAGCAAACAGG